RNAcentral lists this ribosomal RNA (523 nucleotides) under Limnodriloides rubicundus. RNAcentral describes it as "partial 16S ribosomal RNA". It matches the Rfam family "Bacterial large subunit ribosomal RNA", at positions 1801 to 2621 of the family's 2925-position model. The record is from RNAcentral. Lineage: Eukaryota; Metazoa; Annelida; Clitellata; Tubificida; Naididae.
UGUUUAUCAAAAACAUUGUCAUUUGAUCUUUAUAAAUGAUAAAUCCUGCCCUAUGGAAAACUAAAUGGCCGCGGUAUCUUGACCGUGCAAAGGUAGCAUAAUAAUUUGCCCAUUAAUUGUGGGCUAGUAUGAAUGGACAAACGUAGUUGCAACUAUCCCCUUUAAGCCUAUAUAACCUAAUCUCCAAGUGAAGAAGCUUCGAUUAACUCGUAAGACAAGAAGACCCUAUAGAGCUUUACCCUUAUUUUAUUACCUAAAUAAUUAUCGGUUUGGUUGGGGCGACCAAGGAACAUCCCCAUCUUCCUAAUUACUAAAGAUCAACACCUCUCCUUUAUGAUCAUCAAUUAGAUCCCACAGAACCCAGCUACCUUAGGGAUAACAGGCUAAUUCUCCUUAAGAGCCCUUAUUAACAGGAGAGUUUGGCACCUCGAUGUUGGCUUAGGACCUCUUUAUGGUGCAGCCGCCAUAAAUAGAUGGUUUGUUCAACCAUUAAAAUCCUACGUGAUCUGAGUUCAGACCCGGA